Long non-coding RNA from Heterocephalus glaber (naked mole-rat), 7163 nucleotides. The record is from Ensembl. Lineage: Eukaryota; Metazoa; Chordata; Mammalia; Rodentia; Bathyergidae.
CCAUGGUGACAGAGAAGACAACACAACACUGGGGCAGAUGAGAGCUGAGACGCAGAGCCCUUCUGAGAAGCAGCACAGGCUAGCUGGGAACCAGGAAUUUCCUUGACGAAACAGACCAGAGGGAAGCCUUGGGAUCUUGGGGCAGUGACGAGGAAAACCUCAGGGUUGGAGGAAGGAGGGGCCUAGAGGCUGCUAUUAAAAGAAUAAGGAAAAUGCUCUGUAGAGUUAGUAAAAGAUUAACACAGUUCCCCCCAAUGUCGUACGAUCCCAGAGCAUUGCCAAAUACCCUUGGCAUCUCGUGGGAUGAAGUAUGAAGAGAGGUGGGAAGUUGGGGGACAGGGGUCAGGAAAAUGAAGAUCCCACAUCUGAAAGGGGCGAAAGGGUUACUGUUUUGUGAAGUUGAACCCAAGCAUUGCAGGCCUGAAGGAAUGGGAAGAGCUAAGGGCCGGGGAGCCAGCCUGCAGCGGAGGGAAGUGUGCACUUACACUGAUUUAUUGCAGGAGCAAGGAAGGCUUGAAAUGUGCUUCUGGCCACAAGACAAGACAGAUGCCCCUCUGCCAUGUGCCACUAUGCCUUGGAGCCAGCCAAGAUUGAAACUUCUAUGAAUCCAAUGGGAAUGGAAUCCAAGGACACUUGACCACUGAGAUAUAUCCUCAUUCCUUUUUAAAAUUUUAAAAAUUUAAGAUACAGUCUCACUAAGCUGGCCGGGCUAGCCUCAAACUUGGAAUUCUCCUGCCUCAGUCUCCCAAGUAGCUAGGAUCACAAGUGCACACCAUAGUACCUAGCUAUAUAGUAUUAUGUCAUUUUAUAAAAGGGACUUGAACCCUGGCAGAUUUUGGUAUCCUCAGGGGUCCUGGAACCAGUUCACCUUGGAUAUUGAAAGAGAGAGUUAGUAUACAUUAACAUCCUGGACCUAACUACAGUGGUCAAGACAUCCUCUACAUGAGAUCAUAAGGGCAAUAGAGUACUAUGAUAAGCACCUAAAAUAUCAAAAAAGGGCCAAGUCAUGUUCCAAAUACCCUACUAAACAAAGCAAAGAAGAAUGUAUAUAGCUUUGAGAGCCCAUCAGAAUGAUUUCAAUUUAAACUUGGCACCCAAAGAUUAAACUUUUUAACACCUUAGAACAAUUCAUCCUUCUGGGGUGCUAAACAACUGAGAUUUUUAUCAUACAGCCUCAAAAUAGCUAAGGAAGAGAUUCUAAAUCAGGUUGAUGUCCUCCUUUUUUUUUUCUUAGUUAUUAUGUAAGGGAACAACUACACUUUAGAACCUUAUACAUAAAUCAGCCUCCAUUUAAUGGCCCCUGGGCCAGCGUUCUUCUGGUGUCAAAUAUGGGGCUCCAGUUCACUCCCAAAGGGAGAGGUGCCCAGCUCUGCUUUAACCUAGAAAUCUCCACUUGAAUCCUCCCCUCUGAGAAAAUCUGGCCUCUUGGAUGACCUGCAGUUAUCCUGGGAACUGGGUUGCCAAAACAAAAGUGCCAUGCCUGAUGUACUAAUGAAUUCAUGGAAAUGCCUAAUGAAAUAAGGUUAUAAGGAGGCAUUGGAAAAGUUUUUCUCUCUUUUCUUAAAAAAGCUGGCCUUUCUUUUUGUGAGUAUAUGUACAUACACACACACACACACACACACACACACAUUUUCCAAAUGCCCUAAAUUAGUUCAGGUUCUGGCCUGACUUUUGCUUUUCUCCUUCUGAGAUCCAAUUUCCUUUCUCAAAAUUCAGGGGGUUUUAUUGGCCUUACUUACAUGGCAUUCCAUAUGUUUGACAUAUUAUAGUAUCUUCUCUCUUCUUCUAGAAUGAAAGCAUCUUCAGGCAGGGUCCGUGUCUUCUUCCUUUUAAAUCUUUUAUCUCCCCAAACAUCUAGAAUCCACAAUGCCUUUCCCACUCUCAACAAAUGUUUAUUGUUUUCACUUACUCCUGUAAUAGUAAUAAUAAUAAUAGUAUAACACAUAUUUAGCACUUACUAUGUGCCAGGCAUCAUUCUAGGUACUUCAUAUGUAUUAAUUUAUUCAAUCCUCCCAACAACCCUAAUAUUAUACAGAUGGGGAAACUGUUGCACAAGUUGAUCGAGUAACUUUCCCCAGGUCAUGGAGCCAAUAAGUUAUCACUGAGCUGAGAUUUGAAGCCAAUCUGUAUAGGUGUAUCAGUCAGUAUUUACUAGAGAAAAAGAUAUAACACAAAAUAUACAAAAAUAGAUGAAUUUACAAGAUUGGCUUACAAUGGCCUCCUACAGAGUCACAUGAGGAAGAAUGCAGAGGAUCUGUCUGAACACUGGAGUCCAAAGGAUUUAGCUGAAGGUCUGCAGUGUCCUUCAACUCACUGCAGUGUCCUGUACAAGUCCAUAUCAGGAGGCCAAUGGGUCUGCAAUGGAAGGCUGAUGAAUCUAUGCUGGAAGGCUGAAGGAUCCUAGCCAGAAGCUGAAGAGACUGCCCAGGAAGCCAGGAGAUGACAUCCAAGGUGAAGGCAAAGACUGGAGCUCCUCUGAAGAAAUAGAAGCACAAGUCUCCUUCCUCCUUCCUCAUUUCCCCUUGAUACCAUCCAGGCAACAAGCUGCCCUAGGGUGCAGAAUUGCUGAGCUGAUUUAGUUAAACUUCUCUUAACUAAACUUCUCAAGCUGACACAAUCAGUCAUCACAGUUGGCUCUACUGACCAUCUUCCAAACCACUUGGCUAUACUGCCUGGCCCAGUGUACAGAGGACCCAGAUAUGACUUAUCAGUUUAGUCCUCCCACACCUGUCCUUUGCUGUCACAGCAACAGAACAACUGGCUGGGAUAUAAAACAGUUACCACUUUCUAACAGGACUUGUCUGUAGCUGUAAUUGCAUCACAAAUGAGCUCCAUGGUUAUUGUCCUCACCCAAGCAGUCCUCACACAUCUGCAAAGCCUCGGGUGAACAAGAUGUGGUUAAAAGGUAGGGUAAAAUUUAUUACAGCAAAAGACACAUUGCCGGGCUGGGGAUUUAUCUCAGUGGUUCUGCCGCCUGCCUCACAAAUGCAAGGUCCCGAGUUCGAUCCCUGGUACCAAAAAAAAAAUGCCAUUAAUCCCUCUUGAAAUACUUCCCCUCAUUUUGAACACACUUAUUCCAUUGUUCUUGCCACUUUCUAAGCAGUUCUGGAAGUCCUCUUUCAUAAGUGUCAUAACAAGAUGUCAUCGAAAAUACAGUGGGUGCUGCUGCUGAGUGACACCUGAUGAGAAGGCAGUCUCAUGAAAACAGUACGGUGUGUCCUUAUCCACUUUAUUCACCCGACCUGGCCCUAUGGGGCUUCUGAAUCUUCCUCAAAGUAAAAAUUACUGUGACAAGUAAAUGUUUUGAAUCGAGUGAAGACAUCAAGGCAGCCUUGAUAACACAACUAAAGACACAAAAGAGGACUUCCAGAACUGCUUCAGAAAGUGGAAAAAAUGAUGAGAUGAGUGUGUUCAAAGCAAGAGAGUAUUUUAAGGGAGAUUAAUGGCAGUGUGUUUUUUUACCGUCAAAGUCUUUUUUAAAGUUACAUAUCAUCCUAGUUUUCAAUCACACCUUAUAUGUUGAAGAUAUAACAAGGAGGAAGGAGCUCCAUUUUAGUCCUUUCCACAUUUGAGAUCCAGGGAGAAAAGGGCAAAACUUGUAACACUGAUAAAAAAGCAAGGACGUGUUCCCAACCUCUGCCCCAGAUCACUUCUUUCUCAUUUUUCAGCUGUCAAGACUUGGGCCACAGGGCAGUUUUCCUACUGUGGGCUUGUGAGUCUGGGUCUAUCCCAAAGGCCUUGCAAAUCUCUAUGUGGAGCACACCAGAAGCACAGUGCUUGAAAGUUACUCUUUGACUUGCACUAUGGAGCUGAGACAAGGGAUUAGUAGUCUGGCUCAACAAGUCAGUCUAGAGGAGCCUCUAGCUUAAAGCCAUCUCCUCUGAGGAUUCUGAAGGUUUCCUAGAGCACUGUUCCUCAUACCUUAAUAUGCAUAGAAAUACUUGGGAAUCUCAUUAAAAUGGAAAUCGUGGUUCAAUAAGUCAAGGUGAGUCUAAAUUCUGCCUUUCUAUCAAGCUCCUAGGGGAUGCUAAUGCUGUGGUCCAUGAACAACACUUUAGCAUCAAAGGACUGGACUAGCUGAAUUUGUUCCAUGCACUUAGCUGUUUUAGAGAUUGAGGCUCCAGGUGUAGAAACAGCCUUAGGGUUCAGAUUUGAAGGUGUUAGUAGCAGUGAUGGUGGCGCAGGCGAUGGCGCUGACAAUGGCAGCAGUGGCUCUAGUGUGGCAAGAACGGCAGUGCUAAUGCUGCUGAAGUUGGUGGUUAUAGUAUUGGUGGAGAUGCUGGUGGGAGGGGAUGUGGUGGAGGUAAAAGUGGUAAUGAUGGUAGUGGCUGGGUGUGUGGAUUGGGACGAUGCGGGAGCUGGGGGUGGUAAUCACAGCGGGAUUGAUGGAGGUGGUGGUCAUGGUGCUGGGUGAAGAUGAGGAUGGUGACUGAACUGUGCUGGUGGUGAUGACUGGGUUAGUAGUGAGGAGAUGGGUGGCGGCGCUGGUGGCAGUGGUGAUGGCAGUGAGAGUGACAGCGGAAGCAGGGGUUGUUAUGGUGAUCGUGAUGGUGUGAGGGCAGUGGUGGUGAUGGAGAGGGCCACAGGGGUGGUGCUCAUUAGCAUCACACCAUGUACAGCUCGUGUUAUUCAAAGCACUUUUUCACAUAUCUUCUAAGAGAACAGGAUUCUGAGUCAGAAGAAUGAGUUUGCGAUACAAUUCACCAUCUGCUAGUUGUAUGGUAUUUGGCAAUCAUAUCCUCCCUUGCACUCCAUUUGCUACCUCUAUUAUUAUCAGAAGGGAUAAUAAUAUCUCUCAGGGUUGCUCUUAGGCUCACAUGAGCUGCUACUUAGAAAAGUUAGGAUACUACAAAUACACAAGGUUUUCCGAUUCUCAUCUUCUUGAUCAGGUGCCUAGCUGAGGAGGCAGGAGCCUUCCAGGGACAAGACCACCUGAUGCGUAAGCAAAGCCUGUGGUGUGAUACGAGAGAACCAGGAUGGCUCCUAGCCUGCAGGCUGAUCACUUUGUUUUAGCUUCCAUCAUCAUUAGUUGGCUCUGUGGAGCUAACUGCCCUAUUCCUUUUGUGCCUUUGCUGAUGUGUACACAUUUCCAAAUAAAAGUCAUGUCUGGUGUAAGCAGAAGGACAUGUGGAUAUGGAAUGAGGGGGUCUGCAGCCACCCCCAGCCCAGUCACUAUCUCUGUAGAUAAGAGACCCCCAUUCCCCCUCCUCCUCCACAUCUUAGGAAAUAGAAAGGCUGGACUGGCCAUCUCCAAGGACACUUCCAGUUAUAAGAACCUGUGGACUUUGGUUUGGGUGGGCUCCCUGGACAGUCUUCCCUCUGGAAUAAGACAGUUAGCAUAAAAGCUCAUAUAAAAGGCUGGAGUCCCAAGAUCCCGUAGCUUGAGCUAGCUCUGGGCCAUGCCACGCCUCAGCCACCACUUCCAGCCCCUGGUUCCACAUUAGCCAAGCUUUGUUUUGAAAAGGUCCAGGGAGAAAUUUAUUGCUAUAAGCUGGAAGUUGAUUGGCCACAUUAAGAGCUCAACUUCCCCCUUCCUUUAGUCCCACUGACUACAAAAGGAGCUUUGUCUGCUGUAGGGUAGCCCUCCAGGAUGCGACCACAGACAGAAUUCAGCCUUUAAUAGGCUGCAGUGUCUGCUCAGAACACAUGAUUCCCUCUAGCACUGGGCACCCUGUACACUGAUACAGGCCAGGGAGCUAGAGCUGGGGCUGGCUACCUCUGAUGAGGCUAGAGUGAGCACUGGCUGAGGCCACCCUUCUCCCACCAUCCCAGAAUAAACAGAAGUUGCUAGACACAACCAAGUGAGCAAAGAGAUUGUCCUUUCUCUGGGGCUCCUUCUCGGAUUACAUUCUAAGGGGCCAUCCAGGGUCUCACCUGGUGAGGAGAAUCUGACAUGUGAAUAAGAUGGGUCAGAACCUUGUACUCAGAGCUUGCAACAUCUCCCUUUCUGCCUUCUCCCCACCUUCUUGCCUAGCCUACUGGCUGACAGCUCCACCCCACCCGAAGGCUAAACUGGGAGGCAGAGGAAAUUCUCAGGCACCUUGCAGUUCCUGGGAUCCUCUUCCAUCCUGGUUCCCAGGCCCUUCGGGGACUCCACCUGAACCAUCCUCAUCCACACACCCAGCCUUUCACUCUUCCUGCCCCCAGAUGCUCCUUCCUCUACUCUCAGAAGGUCCUCAUGAUCAAAAAGCAAUCUGUAAACCAAUCUAAGCUAGUUGUGAUUUCCCUGUGGCAAGGCUUCUGUCUUCUCCACAGCAGCUUCUCCCCCCAAGCUCUUCAGAGUGCCUGGUAUACCAGGCUCCUCUAAUACAUUUAUGCAAUCAUGAAAUGAAUGGGAAUAAACAUAAGUGAGUGGGUUAUAAUUAAGGUUACUCCUCUCAUGGGCAUGUGCAUUUUGUUCCUGUAACUAAAUCCUAGUGUGAGAGAGAUUUGAUGGCAAAACAUUUUCCACUGGCCAAAAGAUCUCAUCUAUUAGGUGUCUUCCCUACAUGUAAGAGGACCCUACCUGAGGUGGGCAUGGGGCUGCUUCCCGAGAGGGAAGUUGCCCUGGUGGGACAGAGGAAAGAAGCAAUGAUUUUCUGGCUUUCUGAAAAUGUGGCCUAGAGGCAGGCUCGAUUCUGCCCAGGCUACAAAAAAAGAAUUAUUCAACACUGCAGCUGCCCCAGCUGCAGGGAAGCAUUGAAAGGGUUUGGUCCAUCCACUGGCAGCCCGCCAAGCAUGAGGCCACAGCUGUAAUACUCAGACGAGAGGACAAAAGUCAGAGGGGAGAUGAGGACUGCUUGCAGUGGGAGAUGAGAGAGAGAUAAAGGUGCAGUGGACACUGGGGAAGGAAAUGGAAUCUGACACACAGAUGUUAUGGGAAAGGCUUUCCAUGGAGAGUGAACAGAGAAAGAAUCAAGGCCCAGUGACUAGAAGACAUAGCUAUGUUGGGCAAACAGUUUGGCAAGGUACCAGGUACAUGAAGAGAGUAGUUAAAAAUAAACCUGAAAGGUCAAUUAGGAUCCCAUCAUGGAGGCCCUUAGGCCAUGAUGAAGAAUUUGAAUUUUAUUCCAUAGGCAAUAGGAGCACUUGAGAAUCUUUUAGGGAAAAAUAAUGUGGAAUAAUGAUGGGAAUAAACCAAAAUUUUCUGAGCAUCAAAGGGCAGGAAUUUUUCCAGAUGUGGU